UUCUACCUUCCUUAGAAACCUCAUCACUGUCCCACAGUGCAGGCGAGGAGAGAGAGGUGCUGCUGUGAGGAGCUGGAACUGCAGAGUCAAUCCUAGUGGGGACUGCUGACUGCAUACAGAAUGUGACAGCAGCCAAGGAAUAAUGUACCAAAAAAAAAAAACAAAAAAACAAAACCCAUCCCAAUUCUUCGCAUUUCUACUUCCUAUGAAGGAGUACAAAAGCAUGCUCUUGAGAGGGAAGGUUGUCAAUAUAUAUAUAUUUUAAAGCUUAAACAUAAUACCGAAAUUGGCACAGACAGCUCUCUAACAGACUCUCAAGAAGAGCGAGAAACCUAUAAAAAUAGAGAUCUAUGUCAAAAAGAACCUUGGAACACAGUGGUCAGGUGUAUAAUUAGAACCAGCAAUCCAAAUACUUACAUUACACAAACACUGCUUUGUUGAAGAAGUUUGCAAACAUUUAGCACAUGAAAGAGAAUUACCUGCCCUAAAACACCAUAACAUGUCAUAAUUCCACCUUAAGCAAUAUAAUAUGAAAGGGGCUAUUUUUAGCUUUCCCAUGGUUGUUAUGGCAACCACCUUCUGGCUCCAGCUGUACACAAUGUUUAUAAUUCCAGGGAAGUGAAAAGAGCAACUUUCCUCUAUAAUGUAAUUAUGUACUUUCUACAUCUAUGGUAACAAUACCUUAGUUUGAUUAUAGAUACUUGUUUAGUGAUAGUCAAAUUGGCCCUAGGCUAUAGUUCUAGAGGGUUUGGAAAAUCUCAUACAUCAGACCAGUGGAAGGAAAACAACAACAAAGGAUCAUGACAAAGGACUCUGCUGUUACUCAAUGGAGAUACUAAUGCUAUGGAAACCAGCCAUAGGAAACAAGCCAUUUGGGGAUGGUGUAAAGAGCAGGCUGUAAUAAAACCACUUAUAAUGUGUAAGUAGUUGCAGCCUGUGACUGAGUUCCGGACAAUGAAAUGUGGGCAGAAGUGAAACUUCCCUUAAAACCAUCUCGAUGACUGGGCACAGUGGCUCACGCCUGUAAUCCCAGCACUUUGGGAGGCUGAGGUGGGCAGAUCACAAGGUCAGGAGUUCAAGACCAGCCUGACCAACAUGGUAAAAACCCAUCUCUAUUAAAAAUACAAAAAUUAGCCAAGCGUGGCAGUGGACACCUGUAAUCCCAGCUACUCAAGAGGCUGAGGCAGGAGAAUCACUUGAGCCCAGGAGAUGGAGGUUGCAGUGAGCUGAGAUCACACCAUCACACUCCAGCCUGGGUGACGGAGCGAGACUCCGUCUCAAAAAAACCAAACCAGACCAAAACAACAAUAAAAAAAACUCAUCAUCAUUAUUCUUUUUUCUUUCAUCUGUCAGCCGGAUGCAGAGAACUCCAAGAUCCUAGAAAAUGAUGAUGCCCCUAGAUGGAAGGAGCCUCAAAUCUCUGAAUGACUCAGUAGAGAGGGGAGGGAAAAGUAAACCUUUAUGUGUGAAGCCACUGAGAUUUGGGAGUGGUCUGUUUCAGCAGGUAGCUAACCUUGACUGACACAGCUAGUAACCAAGUCCUUUAAUUCAAGUAGAUAUAGAUGUUCCUUUUCCUAACCAAAAGUACUGAUUCAUAAAAUUCACAUACAUUUCUUAACAGUUCUUAACAAGUAUCAAAAUGGUAAUGUGGUGUCAGGUUCAGUCAUAGCUUCUAAUAACUUUCCACCAUUUCUCAACCCCAGUUUAAAAUCAACUUGAUUUUUCUUUUUCCUUUCUUUUUCUUUUUUGAGACAGGGUCUUUCUCUGUCACCCAGGCUGGAGUGCAGUGGGGCUAUCUUGGUUCACGGCAACCUCUGCCUCCUGGAGUUCAAGUGAUUCUCGUGCCCGAGUCUCCCAAGUAGCUGGGAUUACAGCUGUGUGCCACCACAGCCAGCUAAUGUUUCUGUACUUUUAGUAGAGACAGGGUCUCACCAUGUUGGCCAGGCUGGUCUUGAACUCCUGGCCUCAAGCGAUUCACCCUCCUUGACCUUCCAAAGCGCUAGGAUUACAGGCAUGAACCACCACACCCAGCCUCAACUUGAUUUCUUAAAAGGCAAGGAUCCAGCUCAUCCAUGAUACACUCAACUAAUGCCUAUUGAACAGAUGGACUCUCCUUUUCUGCACUGCUUUUAUGUAAUGCUCCAGCUAUGAUCAUGGCUGUCAGGUCUACAGAGGUAGCAGUGAAGUUCCCAGCUCCUCGGUUUUGUAUUAUUACUAACUGUAUAGCUUCAUAGCACUCCAUUUCUUUGGGCCCCUAUUUUUUCAUCUGUCAAAUGAGGUAGGUUACUGUCAAUUAAUUUAAUGCACUGGAUUUCUAUGACUCUUUGACUAAGACUUUAUGCUGUAAAAUAAUUUUACCACAAUUAUCUCUUUUGAUAUGUUUUUCAGCAACACAAUUAAAAAUUCCUUUUAUAAUA
Callithrix jacchus (white-tufted-ear marmoset) is the source of this 2417-nucleotide non-coding RNA. The record is from RefSeq and is a predicted model, not a curated record. NCBI's taxonomy places the organism in Eukaryota, Metazoa, Chordata, Mammalia, Primates, Cebidae.